AUGUAGCAAUACAUGGCGAACUGCUCAGUAACACGUGGACAACCUGCCCUUAGGUUGGGUAUAAACCCGGGAAACUGGGUAUAAUACCCGAUAGGUCUCGAUUGCUGGAAUGCAUCGAGAUUUAAAGCUCCGGCGCCUAAGGAUGGGUCUGCGGCCUAUCAGGUAGUAGUGGGUGUAGCGUACCUACUAGCCUACGACGGGUACGGGUUGUGAGAGCAAGAGCCCGGAGAUGGAUUCUGAGACACGAAUCCAGGCCCUACGGGGUGCAGCAGGCGCGAAAACUUUACAAUGCUGGCAACAGCGAUAAGGGAACCUCGAGUGCCAGGUUACAAAUCUGGCUGUCGAGAUGCCUAAAAAGCAUUUCAUAGCAAGGGCCGGGCAAGACUGGUGCCAGCCGCCGCGGUAACACCGGCGGCUCGAGUGGUAACCGUUAUUAUUGGGUCUAAAGGGUCUGUAGCCGGCCGGAUAAGUCUCUUGAGAAAUCUGGCAGCUUAACUGUCAGGCUUUCAGGAGAUACUGUCUGGCUCGAGGCCGGGAGAGGUGAGAGGUACUUCAGGGGUAGGGGUGAAAUCUUGUAAUCCUUGAAGGACCACCAGUGGCGAA
RNAcentral lists this ribosomal RNA (603 nucleotides) under uncultured archaeon. Its description in RNAcentral is "bacterial SSU rRNA". It matches the Rfam family "Archaeal small subunit ribosomal RNA", at positions 62 to 670 of the family's 1478-position model. The record is from RNAcentral.